Daphnia pulicaria is the source of this 273-nucleotide long non-coding RNA. RefSeq lists it as uncharacterized. Lineage: Eukaryota; Metazoa; Arthropoda; Branchiopoda; Diplostraca; Daphniidae. The transcript is spliced from 3 exons. The record is from RefSeq and is a predicted model, not a curated record.
UCAGGUUCCAAAAUCCUCCAAUUCAGGCUCGUAGUCUGGUAUUAUCCUAUCUUCUUUAAAUUUUAGGAGAGAAAUGGAUUGUCCGAAUCUGGAUAUUCAUGCUCGGAUUGUGAGUCUUCAAAUGAUUCCUCCACUGAUAUCAGUCGUUCGGAUUAAACUUUGAAAUUGGUAUUAUUAUCGUCACUGCUCCAAUUUUUUAUCGUUAUGCAUCUAAACCAAAAUUCCUUGCUUGGAGUUGUAAGACAAGUUAAGGAUCGAAAGAUAUAGGCCUAU